Molecule: microRNA precursor, 190 nt
Filed under: Oryza brachyantha (malo sina)
Lineage: Eukaryota; Viridiplantae; Streptophyta; Magnoliopsida; Poales; Poaceae
Description: MIR812 microRNA precursor family
Rfam family: MIR812 microRNA precursor family
Source: Rfam by way of RNAcentral
AAUAAACCAAUUUUUUACUUUUUAUCUAUAAUUUUUGAUUAUUCAUCUUAUUCAAAAAAAUUUUAUGAUUAAUAUUUUUUUAUUAGAUGAUAAAUCAUGAAUAGUACUUUACGUGUGACUAUUUUUUUUUAAUUUUCUAAAUUUUUUUCAAAUAAGACGGAUGAUCAAAUGUUGGACACGAAAACCGAAG